Molecule: long non-coding RNA, 414 nt
Organism: Gymnodraco acuticeps
Lineage: Eukaryota; Metazoa; Chordata; Actinopteri; Perciformes; Bathydraconidae
Exons: 3
Source: RefSeq, a predicted model, not a curated record
AAUGAAUUGAAAAGUGCCUUCAAAACCCAUGAUCCUCAGGAGUCAUCUGUUCGAAAACUGAUGGCUGAAACAUAUCCCAUCCAGCGUGAAACCAUCAACGAUGGAACCAAUGUAAAGGUCCUAAAGGAAGAGUGGCCAUUUCUAUUUGAAGCUGCUCACCUGUUUGAUCAUGCAUCUAGACUCCUUGGCUUUUCGGUACAAAACAAGCUGGCACAGGAGCUUUCCAAAAAAGAACCGGGCAUCAACAACUUCCUUGACACCAAAGGGAUGAAGAUGGGUGAAGGUCCAGUACAGCUGAUCUGUGGCAUUGUGAGAUACUUCAAGGAAAACCCUGAUCACCUUUUCUGCAAAAAUGAGGACUCCGCGGAUGCUGAACUCAGCCUCCCCUGUACCCCAUGCAUCCUAAUCAGAGGU